CCCUGGUGGCCUUGGAAUGUGGCUGCAGGGCCUGCCCCCUCCCUGCUGCGGCCCUCCUGCCCUCCAGGACAGCCUGUGCUGGACCCUCCUGUGCACCCGUGGGAAACACGGGUCCCACCUGACUCCUCCAUCAGGCCAGAGCAGAAACAGUCCAGCCAUGACACACACCCUGAAAGCACAGCCAAGCAGGGAGCAGAGCAGGACCCCGCGGGGGCCAAGGCGUGUUCCAGAUGGAGUUAGAGGAGGAAUCAAGGCCCUGGGGCCGAUGCCACAGUGAUUACAUGUCAGCAUGGGAUCGACGCCCUGCUCCUGGGCUGUGCCCCAGCCAGCCAGCCUCCAGACACAGCCCAGCUCGGCCAAGGCAGUUUGGAUGGCAGUUAAACUCAAUAAAUAAAUUACCGAAGAAUGUGCAAAACUCUGCUGAAGAGCCACGGCCAAGUGUAUGCUCACGCGAGCAAUGACAGCGGUGUGGGACUGCCACCUGAGAACCGGCGAUCACAAGACACUUUUGGUUGUAGCGCAGCUCCAUCUCAGAGAGGGGAAGAUGAGAAAAAAAUGUGUCUUCCUGAGGCUGGAGAAGGGAGGAACUGGGAAUGACUGCUUCCUACGCGUGGGGUUUCUUUUUGGGGUGAUGAAAAUGUUCUGGAACUAGAUAAUGGUGAUGGCUGCACACUUGUGAAUGGACUAAAUGCCACUGGAUUGUAC
Molecule: long non-coding RNA, 705 nt
Filed under: Equus caballus (horse)
Lineage: Eukaryota; Metazoa; Chordata; Mammalia; Perissodactyla; Equidae
Description: lncRNA (ENSECAG00000045189.1)
Source: RNAcentral